UGGGGAAUUUUGGACAAUGGGCGAAAGCCUGAUCCAGCAAUGCCGCGUGUGUGAAGAAGGCCUUCGGGUUGUAAAGCACUUUUGUCCGGAAAGAAAUCCUUGGCUCUAAUACAGUCGGGGGAUGACGGUACCGGAAGAAUAAGCACCGGCUAACUACGUGCCAGCAGCCGCGGUAAUACGUAGGGUGCAAGCGUUAAUCGGAAUUACUGGGCGUAAAGCGUGCGCAGGCGGUUUGCUAAGACCGAUGUGAAAUCCCCGGGCUCAACCUGGGAACUGCAUUGGUGGCUGGCAGGCUAGAGUAUGGCAGAGGGGGGUAGAAUUCCACGUGUAGCAGUGAAAUGCGUAGAGAUGUGGAGGAAUACCGAUGGCGAAGGCAGCCCCCUGGGCCAAUACUGACGCUCAUGCACGAAAGCGUGGGGAGCAAACAGGAUUAGAUACCCUGGUAGUCCACGCCCUAAACGAUGUCAACUAGUUGUUGGGGAUUCAUUUCCUUAGUAACGUAGCUAACGCGUGAAGUUGACCGCCUGGGGAGUAACGGUCGCAAGAUUAAAACUCAAAUGAAUUGACGGGGUCAUAGCUGUUUCCUG
Molecule: ribosomal RNA, 587 nt
Filed under: uncultured bacterium
Lineage: Bacteria
Description: partial 16S ribosomal RNA
Rfam family: Bacterial small subunit ribosomal RNA
Source: RNAcentral